This 475-nucleotide ribosomal RNA is filed under the name uncultured bacterium. Its description in RNAcentral is "SSU rRNA". It matches the Rfam family "Bacterial small subunit ribosomal RNA", at positions 26 to 518 of the family's 1533-position model. The record is from RNAcentral.
AGGACGAACGCUGGCGGCGUGCUUAACACAUGCAAGUCGAGCGGAAAGGCCCUUCGGGGUACUCGAGCGGCGAACGGGUGAGUAACACGUGAGCAACCUGCCCUUAGCUCUGGGAUAGCUCCGGGAAACCGGAAUUAAUACCGGAUAUGACCUAGGCCGACAUCGGCCGUGGUGGAAAGUUUUUCGGCUAGGGAUGGACUCGCGGCCUAUCAGCUAGUUGGUGGGGUAAUGGCCUACCAAGGCGACGACGGGUAGCCGGCCUGAGAGGGCGACCGGCCACACUGGGACUGAGACACGGCCCAGACUCCUACGGGAGGCAGCAGUGGGGAAUCUUGCGCAAUGGGCGAAAGCCUGACGCAGCGACGCCGCGUGGGGGAUGAAGGCCUUCGGGUUGUAAACCCCUUUCAGCAGGGACGAAGCGAAAGUGACGGUACCUGCAGAAGAAGCGCCGGCUAACGUACGUGCCAGCAGCCGC